GAUGAACGCUGGCGGCGUGCUUAACACAUGCAAGUCGAACGAAGCAUUUAAGACAGAUUACUUCGGUUUGAAGUCUUUUAUGACUGAGUGGCGGACGGGUGAGUAACGCGUGGGUAACCUGCCUCAUACAGGGGGAUAGCAGCUGGAAACGGCUGGUAAUACCGCAUAAGCGCACAGUACCACAUGGUACAGUGUGAAAAACUCCGGUGGUAUGAGAUGGACCCGCGUCUGAUUAGCUUGUUGGCGGGGUAACGGCCCACCAAGGCGACGAUCAGUAGCCGACCUGAGAGGGUGACCGGCCACAUUGGGACUGAGACACGGCCCAGACUCCUACGGGAGGCAGCAGUGGGGAAUAUUGCACAAUGGAGGAAACUCUGAUGCAGCGACGCCGCGUGAGUGAAGAAGUAGUUCGUUAUGUAAAGCUCUAUCAGCAGGGAAGAUAGUGACGGUACCUGACUAAGAAGCUCCGGCUAAAUACGUG
This 481-nucleotide ribosomal RNA is filed under the name uncultured bacterium. Its description in RNAcentral is "partial 16S ribosomal RNA". It matches the Rfam family "Bacterial small subunit ribosomal RNA", at positions 28 to 507 of the family's 1533-position model. The record is from RNAcentral.